GAAAUAUCUAAAGUAAGCUUCUAACUUAUCUAAAAAGCACUUAAGUGUUUAUAUUUCU
RNAcentral lists this transfer RNA (58 nucleotides) under Alleculinae sp. ALL01. RNAcentral's name for it is "tRNA-Ser". The record is from RNAcentral. Lineage: Eukaryota; Metazoa; Arthropoda; Insecta; Coleoptera; Tenebrionidae.